RNAcentral lists this ribosomal RNA (481 nucleotides) under uncultured bacterium. RNAcentral describes it as "bacterial SSU rRNA". It matches the Rfam family "Bacterial small subunit ribosomal RNA", at positions 903 to 1397 of the family's 1533-position model. The record is from RNAcentral.
AAAUGAAUUGACGGGGCCCCGCACAAGCAGCGGAGCGUGUGGUUUAAUUCGAUGUUACACGAAGAACCUUACCAAGGUUUGACAUGCAAGUGGUAGGAAGCCGAAAGGCCUACGACCCUUCGGGGAGCUUGCACAGGUGCUGCAUGGCUGUCGUCAGCUCGUGUCGUGAGAUGUUCGGUUAAGUCCGCUAACGAGCGCAACCCUCGCUGUGUGUUAUAUGUGUCACAUGGGACUGCCGGUCUUAAGCCGGAGGAAGGUGGGGAUGACGUCAAGUCAGCAUGGCCUUUAUAUCUUGGGCUACACACACGCUACAAUGGCCAACACAAUAGGUUGCUAAGCCGCGAGGUAGAGCCAAUCCUCAAAGUUGGUCUCAGUUCAGAUUGCAGGCUGCAACUCGCCUGCAUGAAGACGGAGUUGCUAGUAACCGCAGGUCAGCUAUACUGCGGUGAAUACGUUCCCGGGGCUUGUACACACCGCCCGU